GACGAACGCUGGCGGCGUGCCUAAUACAUGCAAGUCGAACGAACCGCGACUAGGUGCUUGCACUUGGUCAAGGUGAGUGGCGAACGGGUGAGUAACACGUGGGUAACCUACCUCAUAGUGGGGGAUAACAGUCGGAAACGACUGCUAAUACCGCAUAGGACAUGGAAUCACAUGAUUCUGUGAGGAAAGGUGGCGCAAGCUAUCGCUAAGAGAUGGACCCGCGGUGCAUUAGCUAGUUGGUAGGGUAAAGGCCUACCAAGGCGGUGAUGCAUAGCCGACCUGAGAGGGUGAUCGGCCACAUUGGGACUGAGACACGGCCCAAACUCCUACGGGAGGCAGCAGUAGGGAAUCUUCCGCAAUGGACGCAAGUCUGACGGAGCAACGCCGCGUGAGUGAAGAAGGUCUUCGGAUCGUAAAGCUCUGUUGUUAGAGAAGAACAGCGCAUAGAGUAACUGUUAUGCGUGUGACUGGAUCUAACCAGAAAGCCACGCA
RNAcentral lists this ribosomal RNA (492 nucleotides) under Abiotrophia defectiva. Its description in RNAcentral is "bacterial SSU rRNA". It matches the Rfam family "Bacterial small subunit ribosomal RNA", at positions 28 to 497 of the family's 1533-position model. The record is from RNAcentral. Lineage: Bacteria; Bacillati; Bacillota; Bacilli; Lactobacillales; Aerococcaceae.